This 287-nucleotide unclassified non-coding RNA is filed under the name uncultured fungus. RNAcentral's name for it is "sequence contains ITS1, 5.8S rRNA gene". Lineage: Eukaryota; Fungi. The record is from RNAcentral.
UUAACUAUUGUAUAGUACUCAGACGUCACUAAAAUUCAGAGUUGGGUCCUCUGGCGGGCGCAUGCAGGCAGAGCCCACAGUGGAGGCCACGGCCCGCCAAAGCAACAAGAGUAUGUAGACACGGGUGGGAUUCACUCGGCCCCUGGCCCGAAGGCCAGGGCAUUAGUAUUCCGCGCGGCUGGCAACGCUGUGAGUUUAAGACAGCCCCACAAGGUCGAGUACACGACGUCGCUGGGAUACACCGGUGAUCUUUUUUAAUGAUCCUUCCGCAGGUUCACCUACGGAAA